This is a long non-coding RNA of Cavia porcellus (domestic guinea pig), 4410 nucleotides long. RefSeq lists it as uncharacterized. The record is from RefSeq and is a predicted model, not a curated record. NCBI's taxonomy places the organism in Eukaryota, Metazoa, Chordata, Mammalia, Rodentia, Caviidae. The transcript is spliced from 2 exons.
GUGUGGGCUGGAAGGCUCUCUGUCUCUCUCUCUGUCUCUCUGUCUCUCUCUCUCUGUCUUUCUCUCUUUGUCUCUGUCUGUCUGUCUUACUCUCUGUCUCUCUCCUGCCCUCCUCCAACUCUGUCUGCUUCCCACGUGCUGACAGGAGGAGCUAUCCCUUUGCUAUGCUCCUGUGCCAGCCUGCCUUGGAGCCAGCCAACCAUGGGAAGACUGAGAUUCCUGACAUGUGAGCCAACAUAAACCUUUCCUGCUCUAGACUGUGGGUGUCUGGUAAGGUGUCUUGUGAUGAGGAAAGUGAUUAAGACAUGUACUAGUGAACAUAAGAAUGUGGAAGAAAAAAUAAAAUGCUUUUCUGAUUUUAUAUAUAAAAAGUGAAGGCAAAGAAAACUUCAUUAUCACACCACCUGAAACUGACCUGUUUUGGAACUUGACUGCUAUCAUUCUAAUUCUGACUUCUCAGAAGAUCAGUUUUAGCUUUGCAAUAGGGAACCUUUGCUGAGUGUCUCUGUUCUAAUCCUUGGCUUGGUCUGUUGGGGCUCAGUGCAGGAGCUUAGUUUAAAGCAAUGGGCUACUAUAAUUUUAUUUAGCAAUAGUAAAAAAGAAACUCUCACAACCCUUCCCCCCUUAGCUCCUUGAAAAUCAUAAAACAAAGAACUUCUAUCUACUGAGAACCACUUAGAAAAUAGCGAAUUACUAAAUGUGGGUUAAAAUUUGUUUUCCUGAGGAAGAUUAUAGAGUGGUGACUAUGAGAGAAAAAUUGAGGCAGUUUUAUAUUUUAUUUUAUUUCUGUGAGAAUGUAAGAAAGAAAAAAAGCAACUAUUUGAGAAGAAAGAAAAAUGAUAUUUAAAGGGGAUAUUAUAAGGGAAGGUUUAUGCUGCAUUGCAUAAUAUAGACUUGUAUUUUUUUUCUUAGGAAACAUUGGGUAAAACCUACAUUGAAAAUAGGAUAUUUCACAAAAGAUGAUCUCUCAGUAACAAAUAAUCACAUGAAAAAGUGUUCAGUGUCCUCAGGAAAAUGAAAAUUAAAACCAGAAUGAAUCUGAGUACAAUGGCACACAUUUGUAACUCCAGUUACUUGGCAGGCUGAGGUAGGAGGAUCACGUGAGCCCAGGAGUUCAAGGGUCUCCCUAUGUGGUUCAGACUGGCCUUCAAUUCACCAUGUAGCCCAGGUGGAACUCAAACUCAUGGCAAUCCUCCUGCCCCAGCCUUCUGAGUGCUGUGAUUACAAGCAUGCACUACCACACCUGACUAAAAUAACAUUUCUUUAAAGGAAAACAAGAAAAUUGCUUAUUCUGAAUCAAAUAUGAGUGACUUAGACCAAGGAUCACAGAUUCAAGUUGUUUUAAGUGAAAUAUUUCAAAGAAGAAGGGAGUUGUAACAACUUUUAUAGAAAACAAUUAUAAAUUAAUAGAUUUAGUGAAUUAUGUUGAUGGAGGUAUUUUGCAGGCUACUUAAGGAAAAGAAGGGAAUUUUUUUUGAAGCAGAGUCUAACUGUAUAGUUCAAGGAUGGCCUUGAACUCACUAUGUAGACCAGGCUGGCUUUGAACUUGUGGUGGUUCUCCCGCCUCAGACUCCCGAGUGCUGGAUAACAGACAUGCGCCAUCAAGCCUGACUAGAGGGAAAAUUUGACAUGCCAUUGUGAGAAGGUUGGUAAAGGAAGGCAUCUGUUCUUUGCCAAGUUUUGAAUAGUUAACCAAGUCAAAUAUACAGAAAAGUAACCUAAUAGUGAUUAAAACGUUAAGUUAGAUAGAAAAGUCAGGACUAAUGUAUUGACUUCUAAAGGUUGCAGUAGCUCUUUUAAGCUCUGGAUGGCUUCUUACCAGUCUUCACAAGCCUGCCUGUUUUACGUCUCCUGUGGAUGGAAGAAGAGCUCACUUAUCUGGAGUUUGCUGGGAGAAUUUCCAUCAUAACAGGAAAGUUUGAUUUUACAUCCCAAACGGGUAGCGACCCAAAUGUUCUACGGCUCAAUGAAAGAACGAAUUAUGGCAUAUCUUAAUGCAAUGGAAAUAGGAAAUAAAUGAUUAUUGCUUACAAUAAAAUAAAUGAACCUCACAGACAUAAAGACACGUGAAGGAAAUAAAAAAUAGUGCAUUCCAUUUACAUGAAGUUCAAGUAUCAAUUAGCAAAUCCACUUGGCGAUACAAGUCAGAAUAGUGGGUUUCUUUUUUGGCUGGCAGGGUACGUAAGAAGGUAGGGUUAGCAUUUUGGGUUGCUGGAAAUGUACUGGACAGUAGUUGUACAGAUACAAACAUUUAAAAAUGUUUGGAGCUUCAUAGCUAAAUAAAUGCUCUUCUCUGUCUAUAAAGCCAACUUUUCUGCUCAGAGCAUAACAACAAUUAUUCUACUGUAUGGAAAGAAACGUCCAAUUCUAGCAUGGAAGAUAAAUCCAAUUAAGAUCAUUGAACCAAAUUGUUGUAAUUUUUACUGUGACAUAUGUCUAAGUUAAAACAAAAAAUAUUUAUAGAUAUUUAUAUUAUUAUUAUUAUUAUCUUUUGCAAUGCUUGGCAUUGAACCCAGAGUCACACUGAUUCGAGGCAAGUGCUAUACCACUGAGCCAUCCCCUCAGUCUCAUAUAGUCUUAAUUGGAUUUAGGUCUGUGCUUUUUGUUAGGUACUUCUAAGACUAAGCUGAUGUGGCCCAAUAAGGCAUGGUCAUGUGUAACAAAGUUACCUUUCCAGAAUUAUUUCCAGCGCUGCCCUAUAUUCCUGACAAAUUUCAUUACUUAUUCUUUCUUUAACCCCCAUCCUUCUUCACCUCUCUGUCUUGCUUAUGUUCUCUGUAUAUUAAUUUUUCAUAAGUUAAAUCAUAUGUUAAAGGGGCCAAAAAUGCUUUCUUUUGAAAGGAAUAAAAUCUUGUUAGGCCUUUCACAGAAUGAAGAAUCUGAAAUAUUGUAUCUUUUACCUUUUGGAUAACCCUAGAUUUUUAUAUAUUGAGCUUACAAAAAAUGAGAACCAGGUGACCUAGAAAUUUUCACUAAUAGUGGUUAACAGUGUGGCGGUCCACUUCCCGAAGUAUGAAGGAGCCAGAGAAAAUAAUUUGGAAAGAAAAAAAUUAUUUAUUAAAGUACAGGCCUGGCGACGCAGCCUCCAGUAGCCAAUAUGGAAGACUGCAUGCCUAACAGCUAAAGGAAAGGAUUUUUAUCCUGUAAAACUGCAAACAUCUGCUGGUCUCACAAUGCCGGGUGUGUGUGUGUGUGUUUCACUGUGCACUACAGAACAGGAACACGUGGGUUACAUUUCUUGGGAAGAGCAAGGUUCAGGUAAGGGUUGGGCUAACAAGCAAGUUUAGAUUAGGCAAACAUCCUGUGGGGAAGUCACAUCCUGCAAACAAGCAAGUUACCCUGCAAACAAGCAAGUUUAGAUUAGGAAGAUAUCCCUUUCUGCUCUUAGAGUUACCUUUGAUCUUUCUCUUGACUUAUGAAGGUUUUUUAUAUAUAUAUAUAUAUAGGUUAUAAUAAACAGCAGUAGUGAAAACAGUUACUCAUGGUAAUUCUUAGAAGGGGCUGAGGACAUAGCUCUGUGUAAAGCAUUACUUCAUAUGUGCAAGGUCCUGACUUUGGUUGUCAGUACCACAUUAAUAAAAGUAACAGUUUUGAAAGCUAAUAUAAAGGAAAGGAAUGAGCAUAGGCUCUGACGUGAGAUGGACAUCAUUUUGUAUUGUUUUUGCCAUUUAUCAAAUGUGAACUCAAGCAUGUUGAUUUGUUACCCGACCCAAGUCUAUCUGUUUGCUAAUCAAAAGUCAAUACUUACAUCUGAGAGUUGGUAGGAAGGAAAUGGAGUGUUAUUUAUGGGCCAGCAUCUAGAGAACAUGGGUGGGGCUAUCAUCCUCCAAAACAAACCCACAUUAGGGAACUCAGUGUGUGAAAAAGCUUUUUGGACAGAGAAAGAACGGUAGAAAGUCUACAUGCUGGGCAGGGUCUCCAUCUGUUAUGGGUUAAGAACUGGUGGUCAACUUAACACCAGCUGGAUUACAUCAGCAUGGCAUUGAGGAAAGUUGCCAGGAGCUCGGGGCCUCCGUGUCGCUGAGGACAGCUGUGGUGCCUUCAGGAUAGCCCUGGUCUUUGUUGUGAGUGUGACUUCUCGGCUCCAGCAUAGAACACUCAUCCCACUAGCACAGCUCCUUCAUCCUGCUGGCAUAGACUUUCUGGCUUCAACCGCUGAUCCUGGGGGCUUCCUGGCACAGAUCCGUAAGAGACUGGCGUGAGUCCUUCUUGUGGGCUCUGGACCUCCAGUUGAACUCGUGGGAGGCAUUGUCCUGAGCUCUGGGUUUUUAUCUGGAUUCAUGUGGGACAUUGCCAUGAGGUUUAGCCUCUUGACUAAAUAAUCUAUGUCUUUGGUGUUUUGGAUAGAUUUCCUGCAUUUUCCUGUGUUAACUCCUGGUGACUAUUAUAAAAAUAAUAUUAUAAACUCCA